Molecule: ribosomal RNA, 111 nt
Filed under: Triticum aestivum (bread wheat)
Lineage: Eukaryota; Viridiplantae; Streptophyta; Magnoliopsida; Poales; Poaceae
Description: partial small subunit ribosomal RNA
Source: RNAcentral
AUGACAUCAAGAAAGCAGGAAGUGCUGGCAACUAGGGAGUCUGCAUAUGCAAUUCACUUGGAACCACUACAAGCACAUCACUCAUGGGUGUUGUUCUACAAACGGGUAUUU